CUAAUUUUGAAUCUGAGACUCACCUAAGACUUGGAUCUCGAGCGCGCUCUCUCUCUCUCUAAAUCUCAGAGCGAUUUCGAAGCUCCACCGCUUAUUCAUUCUCAGAGCGAGGUAGCAAGCACCAACGAAGAGCGUCAGAGAUUCAGAUCGGUCUCCACCAUCUGCACCAUCGUCUGCACCAUUAUCUGCACCAUCGUCUACUAAGGUGAGCUCCACCCUCUCUCUCUCUCUGAAGCUCUUCCUUCCCGUCGACUCGGUGGAAACUUCUUCAAGCCACGCAUUCCAAUCCGAGUUCAAGGUCGAAGAUGAUGACACCAAUUCGAUGCCCUCUAACAUUGGCUUGAUUCAACAUGCUGCGUGGAUUGGUUUGGCUACCAUCACAAGCAA
This is a non-coding RNA of Camellia sinensis, 387 nucleotides long. NCBI's taxonomy places the organism in Eukaryota, Viridiplantae, Streptophyta, Magnoliopsida, Ericales, Theaceae. The record is from RefSeq and is a predicted model, not a curated record.